UUGCUUUGGCAGCACAUAUACUAAAAUUGAAAUGAUACAGAGAAGAUUAGCAUGACCCUUGUGCAAGGAUGAAAUGCAAAUUUGUGAAGUGUUUCAUAUUUUU
Suncus etruscus (white-toothed pygmy shrew) is the source of this 103-nucleotide small nuclear RNA. The record is from RefSeq and is a predicted model, not a curated record. Lineage: Eukaryota; Metazoa; Chordata; Mammalia; Eulipotyphla; Soricidae.